AUGUGGCUUCCUCUUCCAAAGCCUGUGUGGGAGCUGGGGAAGAACCAGCUGAAACUACCUCUUGGGGGUUGGGUGUUGCUGAUUUCUACCUUCUCCACUAACAGAGAGGAAAACCUUGGGCUGGCUAUGCUGAGUCAUCCAGAGACCAGGAAAUCCAGGUUUAUAUUUACCCCAAGGCAGCCACAAAGCUCAACAGCCUUCACCAGCCCAGACCCCAUCCAUAUUCUCACUCAUCUCCCUGUGUCCACCCUUGCCCUGCACCUAUCUGAUCCCCACAGUGCAGCCAGAUACACGUUUCUCUAAGAAAACUCAGGCCACUGGGGUGCCUGGAUGGCUCAGUCAGUGAAGCGUCUGACCCUUGAUUUCGGCUCAGGUCAUGAACUCAAGGUUUGUGAGUUCAAGCCCCUCCUCAGGCUCUGCACUGACAGUGUGGGGCCUGCUUGGGAUUCUUCAUCGGGAUCUCUCUCUUUCUCCCUCUCUCUCCCUUUCUCUCAAAAAUAAAUAAACCAACAUGUAAAACA
RNAcentral lists this long non-coding RNA (521 nucleotides) under Felis catus (domestic cat). Its description in RNAcentral is "lncRNA (ENSFCAG00000041764.2)". The record is from RNAcentral. Lineage: Eukaryota; Metazoa; Chordata; Mammalia; Carnivora; Felidae.